This 293-nucleotide ribosomal RNA is filed under the name uncultured Pseudomonas sp. RNAcentral's name for it is "partial 16S ribosomal RNA". It matches the Rfam family "Bacterial small subunit ribosomal RNA", at positions 1089 to 1382 of the family's 1533-position model. Lineage: Bacteria; Pseudomonadati; Pseudomonadota; Gammaproteobacteria; Pseudomonadales; Pseudomonadaceae. The record is from RNAcentral.
GUAACGAGCGCAACCCUUGUCCUUAGUUACCAGCACGUUAUGGUGGGCGACUCUAAGGAGACUGCCGGUGACAACCGAGGAAGGUGGGGAUGACGUCAAGUCAUCAUAGCCCUUACGGCCUGGGCUACACACGUGCUACAAUGGUCGGUACAAAGGGUUGCCAAGCCGCGAGGUGGAGCUAAUCCCAUAAAACCGAUCGUAGUCCGGAUCGCAGUCUGCAACUCGACUGCGUGAAGUCGGAAUCGCUAGUAAUCGUGAAUCAGAAUGUCACGGUGAAUACGUUCCCGGGCCUU